Molecule: ribosomal RNA, 502 nt
Filed under: uncultured bacterium
Lineage: Bacteria
Description: partial 16S ribosomal RNA
Rfam family: Bacterial small subunit ribosomal RNA
Source: RNAcentral
GACGAACGCUGGCGGCGUGCUUAACACAUGCAAGUCGAACGGUGAAGGGGUCUGCUUUUGUGGGCCCUGGAUGAGUGGCGAACGGGUGAGUAACACGUGAGUAACCUGCCCCCUUCUUCUGGAUAACCGCAUGAAAGUGUGGCUAAUACGGUAUAUUCUGGGUCUGUCGCAUGAUGGGUCUGGGAAAGAUUGCGCCUUUGGGUUUUUUUGGUGGGGGAUGGGCUCGCGGCCUAUCAGCUUGUUGGUGGGGUGAUGGCCUACCAAGGAGGUGACGGGUAGCCGGGCUGAGAGGGUGGACGGUCACACUGGGACUGAGACACGGCCCAGAAUCCUACGGGAGGCAGCAGUGGGGAAUAUUGCACAAUGGGCGCAAGCCUGAUGCAGCGACGCCGCGUGAGGGAUGGAGGCCUUCGGGUUGUAAACCUCUUUCGCCAGUGAAGCAGGCCUGCUCCUUGUGGGUGGGUUGACGGUAGCUGGAGAAGAAGCGCCGGCUAACUACGUG